AGAUUGAACGCUGGCGGCAUGCCUUACACAUGCAAGUCGAACGGCAGCACGGGAGCAAUCCUGGUGGCGAGUGGCGAACGGGUGAGUAAUACAUCGGAACGUGCCCAAUCGUGGGGGAUAACGCAGCGAAAGCUGUGCUAAUACCGCAUAAGAUCUACGGAUGAAAGCAGGGGAUCGCAAGACCUUGCGCGAAUGGAGCGGCCGAUGGCAGAUUAGGUAGUUGGUGAGGUAAAGGCUCACCAAGCCUUCGAUCUGUAGCUGGUCUGAGAGGACGACCAGCCACACUGGGACUGAGACACGGCCCAGACUCGUUACGGGAGCAGCAGGUGGGGAAUUUGGACAAGUGGG
RNAcentral lists this ribosomal RNA (348 nucleotides) under uncultured soil bacterium. Its description in RNAcentral is "bacterial SSU rRNA". It matches the Rfam family "Bacterial small subunit ribosomal RNA", at positions 26 to 376 of the family's 1533-position model. The record is from RNAcentral.